GGGCCUACGGGAGGCAGCAGUGGGGAAUAUUGCGCAAUGGGCGAAAGCCUGACGCAGCGACGCCGCGUGAGGGAUGAAGGUUUUCGGAUCGUAAACCUCUGUCAGAAGGGAAGAAACUACGUUGUGCUAAUCAGCAGCGUA
This 141-nucleotide ribosomal RNA is filed under the name uncultured Desulfovibrionales bacterium. RNAcentral's name for it is "partial 16S ribosomal RNA". It matches the Rfam family "Bacterial small subunit ribosomal RNA", at positions 335 to 468 of the family's 1533-position model. The record is from RNAcentral. Lineage: Bacteria; Pseudomonadati; Thermodesulfobacteriota; Desulfovibrionia; Desulfovibrionales.